Molecule: ribosomal RNA, 439 nt
Filed under: uncultured bacterium
Lineage: Bacteria
Description: partial 16S ribosomal RNA
Rfam family: Bacterial small subunit ribosomal RNA
Source: RNAcentral
CUACGGGGCGCUGCAGUGAGGAAUAUUGCACAAUGGGGGGAACCCUGAUGCAGCAACGCCGCGUGGAGGAUGACGCAUUUCGGUGUGUAAACUCCUUUUAUAUGUCAAGAAAAUGACGGUAGCAUAUGAAUAAGCACCGGCUAACUCCGUGCCAGCAGCCGCGGUAAUACGGAGGGUGCAAGCGUUACUCGGAAUCACUGGGCGUAAAGGACUCGUAGGCGGGUUGGAAAGUCAGGUGUGCAAUCCUACAGCUUAACUGUAGAACUGCACUUGAAACUUCUAAUCUAGAGUAUGGGAGGGGGAGAUGGAAUUAGUGGUGUAGGGGUAAAAUCCGUAGAUAUCACUAGGAAUACCUAAAGCGAAGGCGAUCUCCUGGAACAUUACUGACGCUAAGGCGUGAAAGCGUGGGGAGCAAACAGGAUUAGAUACCCCCGUAGUC